GGAGGGUUGCCAGAGCGGUAAUGGAGCGGCUUGCUAAGCCGUGACGAGGAAUACUCGUUCACAGGUUCAAAUCCUGUACCCUCCG
This 85-nucleotide transfer RNA is filed under the name bacterium. RNAcentral describes it as "tRNA-Ser". It matches the Rfam family "tRNA". Rfam says of the family: Transfer RNA (tRNA) molecules are approximately 80 nucleotides in length. Their secondary structure includes four short double-helical elements and three loops (D, anti-codon, and T loops). The record is from RNAcentral.